This 125-nucleotide ribosomal RNA is filed under the name Hypocreales sp. Its description in RNAcentral is "partial small subunit ribosomal RNA". It matches the Rfam family "Eukaryotic small subunit ribosomal RNA", at positions 1657 to 1779 of the family's 1831-position model. The record is from RNAcentral. Lineage: Eukaryota; Fungi; Ascomycota; Sordariomycetes; Hypocreales.
CCUUUGUACACACCGCCCGUCGCUACUACCGAUUGAAUGGCUCAGUGAGGCGUCCGGACUGGCCCAGAGAGGAGGGAAGCCACCACUCAGGGCCGGAAAGCUCUCCAAACUCGGUCAUUUAGAGG